GACGAACGCUGGCGGCGUGCUUAACACAUGCAAGUCGAACGAUGAAGAAGAGAAACGCGAACUUCGGUUCAAAUUUCACUUCGGAUUAGUGGCAGACGGGUGAGUAACGCGUGAGCAACCUACCUCUUACAAAGGGAUAGCCUCGGGAAACCGUGAUUAAUACCAUAUGACACCUUCAUAAGGCAUCUUAAGAAUGUUAAAGCUACGGCGGUAAGAGAUGGGCUCGCGUCCCAUUAGCUAGUUGGUGAGGUAACGGCCCACCAAGGCGACGAUGGGUAACCGGCCUGAGAGGGUGAACGGUCACAUUGGAACUGAGACACGGUCCAAACUCCUACGGGAGGCAGCAGUGGGGAAUAGUGCACAAUGGAGGGAACUCUGAUGCAGCGACGCCGCGUGAGCGAUGAAGGAAUUCGUUUCGUAAAGCUCUGUUCUAUGGGAAGAAAAGGACUGUACCAUAGGAGAAAGCCCCGGCUAAAUACGUG
This 482-nucleotide ribosomal RNA is filed under the name uncultured bacterium. RNAcentral's name for it is "partial 16S ribosomal RNA". It matches the Rfam family "Bacterial small subunit ribosomal RNA", at positions 28 to 507 of the family's 1533-position model. The record is from RNAcentral.